CCCUUAGAUGUUCUGGGCCGCACGCGCGCUACACUGAUGCAUUCAACGAGUUUCUUCCUGGUCCGAGAGGAAUGGGUAACCUUUUGAAAGUGCAUCGUGAUAGGGAUAGACUAUUGCAAUUAUUGGUCUUCAACGAGGAAUUCCUAGUAGACGGAGUUCAUCAGACUGCAUCGAUUACGUCCCUGCCCUUUGUACACACCGCCCGUCGCUCCUACCGAUUGAAUGCUCAGGUGAGCCAUUCGGACUUUCAUCAUGCUGGUUUCCAGUUUUGAUGAAGGAAAGUCUUGCGAACCUUAUCAUUUAGAGGAAGGAGAAGUCGUAACA
RNAcentral lists this ribosomal RNA (324 nucleotides) under uncultured eukaryote. Its description in RNAcentral is "partial 18S ribosomal RNA". It matches the Rfam family "Eukaryotic small subunit ribosomal RNA", at positions 1470 to 1796 of the family's 1831-position model. The record is from RNAcentral.